GACGAACGCUGGCGGCGUGCUUAACACAUGCAAGUCGAACGGAAAGGCCUCUUUCGGGGGGUACUCGAGUGGCGAACGGGUGAGUAACACGUGAGUAACCUGCCCUUGACUUUGGGUUAACUUCAGGAAACUGGGGCUAAUACAGGAUAGGAGCUCCUGCUGCAUGGUGGGGGUUGGAAUGUUUCGGCGGUUGGGGAUGGACUCGCGGCUUAUCAGCUUGUUGGUGGGGUAGUGGCUUACCAAGGCUUUGACGGGUAGCCGGCCUGAGAGGGUGACCGGCCACAUUGGGACUGAGAUACGGACCAGACUCCUACGGGAGGCAGCAGUGGAGAAUAUUGCACAAUGGGUGGAAGCCUGAUGCAGCAACGCCGUGUGCGGGAUGACGGCCUUCGGGUUGUAAACCGCUUUCGCUCAUGACGAAGCUUUGUGUGACGGUAGUGGGUAAGAAGCACCGGCUAACUACGUG
This 466-nucleotide ribosomal RNA is filed under the name uncultured bacterium. RNAcentral's name for it is "partial 16S ribosomal RNA". It matches the Rfam family "Bacterial small subunit ribosomal RNA", at positions 28 to 507 of the family's 1533-position model. The record is from RNAcentral.